RNAcentral lists this ribosomal RNA (408 nucleotides) under uncultured bacterium. Its description in RNAcentral is "bacterial SSU rRNA". It matches the Rfam family "Bacterial small subunit ribosomal RNA", at positions 355 to 775 of the family's 1533-position model. The record is from RNAcentral.
UGGGGAAUAUUGGACAAUGGGCGAAAGCCUGAUCCAGCAACGCCGCGUGAGGGAUGACGGCCUUCGGGUUGUAAACCUCUUUCAGCUCCGACGAAGCGAAAGUGACGGUAGGAGCAGAAGAAGCACCGGCCAACUACGUGCCAGCAGCCGCGGUAAUACGUAGGGUGCGAGCGUUGUCCGGAAUUAUUGGGCGUAAAGGGCUCGUAGGCGGUCCGUCACGUCGGGAGUGAAAACCUGGGGCUCAACCCCAGGCCUGCUUCCGAUACGGGCGGACUAGAGGUAGGCAGGGGAGAGCGGAAUUCCUGGUGUAGCGGUGAAAUGCGCAGAUAUCAGGAGGAACACCGGUGGCGAAGGCGACUCUCUGGGCCUUACCUGACGCUGAGGAGCGAAAGCGUGGGGAGCAAACAG